Molecule: long non-coding RNA, 489 nt
Filed under: Trifolium pratense (red clover)
Lineage: Eukaryota; Viridiplantae; Streptophyta; Magnoliopsida; Fabales; Fabaceae
Description: long non-coding RNA (TPRA_LNC001014)
Source: RNAcentral
CUGGAACGUGAAAUCUGCCUCAAACGCGAGUCACCUUAAAGCCACAAAUUGGAGCUUCCACGUCAAAGGAAAAUCGAUUCUAAGCGAUUAAUUUUUAGUUAUAUGGAAACUUACCUAUUUACCCUUAAACUUCUUCUUCUCAACAUCACUCAGAUUCAAAGCCAUAUGGAUCUGUCUUUCCCCUUUGUAAGCUUGAGGUCAUCAAACAAGUAUUUAGAAAUGGAAAAAUGGCGUGUUGGGUAUAUUUAUUUCUCUUCUUCUUAUGUUACCCCCACUGAUUUUCUACUGGUUUCUUUGUUGUGGUGCGGCCGCUACAGUACUUUGUUCUAGGUUGAAGAAGAAAAGCAAGCAAUUGGGCUUAACUUUGACCCGGUAGUGGCCCAUUUUGCUCUUAGUUUUUUUAUUUUAUUUUUACACUGGUGUGCAAAGAAAUGGUUUGGUUUUUUUAAUUAAAAAAUCAUAACUAUAAUACAAUAUGCAUUUUAAUAA